GUGUAUGCUGCGCUUGCAGCUUCGCCCUGCUCCCUGCUCUCCAUCACUGUCCAUUGAUGUUUUUUCCUCUCUUCCCUUCCCUCUCUCUUCCUCCCUCUCUCUUCCUCCCUCUCUCCUCCUCCCUCUCUCCCCCCUCUCCCUCUGUUCAGCCUCAGAAAAGAGCCGCAUGCCUCCACACUUUUGGACAAGACUGAUGGCUCGUCAAUAGCAUUAGCCAGCAAUGCAGGCCUGGCUGGUGUAGAACAGAAUCGAUACGGCCCCAGAUGGACUUUUCCUGGUCGGCGGAGUUUUAGACCUGAUCUGAUGAAGCUGGUAGCUUCAGGGACCGAUAAAGCGCUGGCACAUAAAAGCUUUUCUGCUUCUCUUCAUUCUGGUUGUUCUCAUUGAGAUAACAUCUCCUUUACUAAGCACUAGUCAACCUCAGGGCCAGAAGAGGCCAGACUGAAGAGGAGCCAUUGGACUUUGACUGGAAUAAUAGUAGUUUGUUUGAAAUGUAAGUGUCCUCCGUUAUGCUUGUUUAUUUUGCCGACAGUGUGAUUUGUGCGUAAUUUCCACCUGCGAUUGUAGAAUCGUCAUUAAAGCAUGUUUUGAUAAAGUGCAA
RNAcentral lists this long non-coding RNA (601 nucleotides) under Salmo salar (Atlantic salmon). RNAcentral describes it as "lncRNA (ENSSSAG00000118233.1)". Lineage: Eukaryota; Metazoa; Chordata; Actinopteri; Salmoniformes; Salmonidae. The record is from RNAcentral.